AAAAGUUAUUACAUAGAGGUAGUUAAAAUUCAUACAAUCUUUUGAGGAAUAAAAUAUAGUAGUAUGUCUUCAUCCAUGGUUUUGCUUUCCUUGGUUUCAGUUAUCUUCAGUCAAUCCCUAAUUCCAGGAGAAUUUUGGAAGCAAUGAAGGUGUCACAUGCUCAUGGAGGAAAAGAUGUGGCAUGCGGUUCAAGUCCAAGUGGAGAUGACCAUCACUGCAGUUUCCAAAUCUUUGCCACCACAGAAGAGCAACUUGAUUCAAAUGAAUAUGCUAAGGAUCAGAGAAGCAAAUUAUGGCUAAUUACCUGAAGUCGCACAGCUAGUGAAUAGCAGAGCUGAGAAUUCACCUUGAUCUUUCAACUUCAAGAUUGGGACACUCCUGCUGCUCUAAACCAUGUUUCUUAAAGGAGGUAUGUUUUAUAUCUUUAAUAUUAUAAAAGAAGUUCUAAUGGAUGUCAAAAGAAGUGAUAAAUUAGUUUAAAGGGUGUUGCAGGCUACAGAUUCAGUACUUGGGACUUUCAAAAAAAGAUACAUUGUCAGUAUGGCCAGCUAAUAAUGAAGUUCUGCUCUUCUUCCCUCAGUGCCCAGAUUAGUCCCAAAACAUGGUUCAGUGAAUAUCAGCACAAGUUUUCUCUUCCCAGGGAAUUAACUCUUGGAGGAGAUAGGUUGAAUCCAAAUGUAAGAAAACUUAGGAAGUAAGGGGAAUAUAAAGAAGUUUUGAAAAUAAAACAGCUAGAAAACAGUGGGUAAGUUGAUAG
RNAcentral lists this long non-coding RNA (757 nucleotides) under Monodelphis domestica (gray short-tailed opossum). RNAcentral describes it as "lncRNA (ENSMODG00000039117.1)". The record is from RNAcentral. Lineage: Eukaryota; Metazoa; Chordata; Mammalia; Didelphimorphia; Didelphidae.